AAUAAUAUAUGUGUUCAUCACCCAAAACCUUGAGCAUUCAAAGCCUUAUUGGCAGUAGUCAUUUGAGAUUUGUCAUUACCCCGAAUAAUCUGUUUCUACCUUGAGGCAGAGCCCCAAUUGGAUAGAUUCAUUUUCCAUACUUAAGGACCAAAAUCAGAAAUUUUAGGUUUUACAUAUAACAUGUAGUAAUUGAAUGUUAAAGGAAAUAGUUUCUUCAGUUUUGUUUGUUGGCAUUAUCGUGCAUUCCUAAAUAACAUCUGUUAAGCAUAUGCUUAUUUGUCUCCGCUUGUCUCUGGAAUUAUUUGCUUUAAUGACUAUACAUGCGCAUGAGCCUUUAUUUACUUUCUUAUGGAGGUUUUAUUUAUGUUCUACAAUUAAUAAGCUUUAUCUGUUGUUGCAUAAACCUAUCUAUAAAUGUGAAUUUUGGUUUUUCAAAUUGAAUCUUCUGUUAUCUAGGAAAUGAGCCUUAUGGUGAAGUACCGUUUACGUCCUGGUACUUUGAAGGGUGAAUUGUUUAGAGUUCUGCUAGAGCAAGGAAUUCAUGGGUUGAAAGUUUCUGAGUUGGCGAAGUCUCAUUGCAAGUCAUUUGGGUACAUAUAUGUCACGGCAGUUUUCUAGAGGCUCAUAUGUUUGGAGAUAAGGUCAUUGUUACCACCAAGCACAAUGAUGAUGAGCAGUAUAUGUGGGAGCCGCUCCGAUUCAAUGUUUAUGAGGUUCGAUGGAGAAGGAAGGGUUGUGGGGCAUGCCCUUGGUUUUUGUGUUUUUAUUUUAUUUUAUAUUUAUACUUAAGUUUGGGUUUUUUAAAAAAAUAUGAGCUGGGCUUGUUUUGGGUUUUUUUGUGUUUUUUGUAUUGGGCUUCUUUUGAGUUAGUUAGUGGCAGUCAUGUAAUUUAUAGGAAAUUCAACACUUAUUUUGUAUGUAGUAAAUGGUUUUUGGGUA
Non-coding RNA from Prunus avium (sweet cherry), 939 nucleotides. Lineage: Eukaryota; Viridiplantae; Streptophyta; Magnoliopsida; Rosales; Rosaceae. The record is from RefSeq and is a predicted model, not a curated record.